CUGGUUAAAUUGUAAGUCGCCUAGGUUUGACACUAGAUAAUUUACUGAAAACACUCUCAAGUUUAAAGUGGAAGACUUAGUGAAUUUUAAAAAAAUGUUUUAAUCGUUGAUUCUUAAUUCGUUGGAAAAGAAAUAAAACAAAGAGUCACCAGAAAUAGGAACUAGAAAGACUAAAAACAGUACAGGUAGUUAUUCGGGAGGAAGGCUCCGCCUCAGACCCCCGGCCUUAUAUGCCAGAUUUCAAAUUUGGGACAAUUUACACCCCUGCCAAUCCUCGCGCCUUUGUCAACGUGUGAUGACACAUCAGUGAUAGAUCUCUGACCUCAUUUUCCAGACCUAGACGUCCAAAUUUCAAAACAAGCACAGGACCUCCAACUGGUGUCACCAUUCAGUUGGAAACACAGUUGAUGUGACAAUGGUUGUGGCUGUGGAUCGU
Molecule: long non-coding RNA, 436 nt
Organism: Dreissena polymorpha
Lineage: Eukaryota; Metazoa; Mollusca; Bivalvia; Myida; Dreissenidae
Exons: 3
Source: RefSeq, a predicted model, not a curated record